This 93-nucleotide ribosomal RNA is filed under the name Olea europaea subsp. europaea. RNAcentral describes it as "LSU_rRNA_bacteria". The record is from RNAcentral. Lineage: Eukaryota; Viridiplantae; Streptophyta; Magnoliopsida; Lamiales; Oleaceae.
UGGUUGCCUUCCUGGGAUAUGCCAUCAGAAGUAGUACUAUGAGGGAACGGUGAAAAGAACCCCCAUCGAGGAGUAAUAUAGAGCAUGAAACCA